RNAcentral lists this ribosomal RNA (394 nucleotides) under uncultured bacterium. Its description in RNAcentral is "partial 16S ribosomal RNA". It matches the Rfam family "Bacterial small subunit ribosomal RNA", at positions 523 to 918 of the family's 1533-position model. The record is from RNAcentral.
AUACGUAGGUGACAAGCGUUAUCCGGAUUUACUGGGCGUAAAGGGCGCGUAGGCGGCGCUUCAAGUCGUCUGUCAAAUGGGAGGGCUUAACCCUUUUUCGCAGACGAAACUGGAGAGCUUGAGAAGCAGAGAGGCAAACAGAAUUCCUGGUGUAGCGGUGAAAUGCGUAGAUAUCAGGAAGAAUACCAGUGGCGAAGGCGGUUUGCUGGCUGCAUACUGACGCUGAAGCGCGAAAGCCAGGGGAGCAAACGGGAUUAGAUACCCCGGUAGUCCUGGCAGUAAACGAUGUAUGCUGGGUGUGAGACUAGCGAUAGUUUCGUGCCGAAGUUAACGCGAUAAGCAUACCGCCUGGGGAGUACGGUCGCAAGAUUGAAACUCAAAUGAAUUGACGGGG